GUGUAGCUUUCAGUCCUGAUGGCAGGUAUCUGGCAAGUGGUUCUUUUGACAAAUGUGUACACAUCUGGAACACACAGGUGUCCGCCACCAUAGUUCAUUU
This 100-nucleotide small RNA is filed under the name Pongo abelii (Sumatran orangutan). RNAcentral's name for it is "processed transcript". The record is from RNAcentral. Lineage: Eukaryota; Metazoa; Chordata; Mammalia; Primates; Hominidae.